UACGUAGGGUGCAAGCGUUAAUCGGAAUUACUGGGCGUAAAGCGUGCGCAGGCGGUUUUGUAAGACAGGCGUGAAAUCCCCGGGCUCAACCUGGGAAUGGCGCUUGUGACUGCAAAGCUGGAGUGCGGCAGAGGGGGAUGGAAUUCCGCGUGUAGCAGUGAAAUGCGUAGAUAUGCGGAGGAACACCAAUGGCGAAGGCAAUCCCCUGGGCCUGCACUGACGCUCAUGCACGAAAGCGUGGGGAGCGAACAGG
RNAcentral lists this ribosomal RNA (253 nucleotides) under uncultured bacterium. Its description in RNAcentral is "partial 16S ribosomal RNA". It matches the Rfam family "Bacterial small subunit ribosomal RNA", at positions 524 to 776 of the family's 1533-position model. The record is from RNAcentral.